This 844-nucleotide ribosomal RNA is filed under the name Fragilariopsis kerguelensis. RNAcentral's name for it is "partial Bacterial large subunit ribosomal RNA". It matches the Rfam family "Bacterial large subunit ribosomal RNA", at positions 1 to 865 of the family's 2925-position model. The record is from RNAcentral. Lineage: Eukaryota; Bacillariophyta; Bacillariophyceae; Bacillariales; Bacillariaceae.
AAGUAGUUAAGAGCGUAUGGAGGAUGCCUUGGCUCUCAGAGACGAUGAAGGACGUGCUAAGCUGCGAUAAGCUACGGGAAGUUGCACAGAAACUGUGAUCCGUAGAUUUCCGAAUGGGGCAACCCAGCAUAUUGAAGAUAUGUUAUCCUUAGGGAGGUUAACCCGGAGAACUGAAACAUCUAAGUACCCGGAGGAAGAGAAAACAAUAGUGAUUCCGCAAGUAGUGGCGAGCGAACGCGGAUUAGCCCAAACCCUGAUCGUUACGGCGGUUGGGGGGUUGUAGGACUGCAACAUGAGAAGUAUAAUGAAUUGGAAUGAUCUGGGAAGGUCGACCGUAGAGGGUGAAAGUCCCGUACAGGUAAAAUUAUACCAUCUAGCAGUAUCCUGAGUAAGACGGGACCGGAGAAAUCCCGUUUGAAUCCACCGGCACCAUCCGGUAAGGCUAAAUACUCCUGAGAGACCGAUAGUGAACAAGUACCGUGAGGGAAAGGUGAAAAGUACCCUGAAUAAGGGGGUGAAAUAGAACCUGAAACCAUACGCUUACAAGCGGUCGGAGCAACUGCGUGUUGUGACGGCGUGCCUUUUGCAUAAUGAUCCUACGAGUUACUCCUCAUUGGCAAGGUUAAGAAUUUAAGAUUCGAAGCCGAAGCGAAAGCGAGUCUGAACAGGGCGACAUAGUCAGUGGGGGUAGACGCGAAACCUUGUGAUCUACCCAUGGCCAGGUUGAAGUUCCGGUAACACGGAAUGGAGGACCGAACCAGUAAGCGUUGAAAAGCUUUUGGAUGAGCUGUGGGUAGGGGUGAAAGGCCAAUCAAACUGGGAAAUAGCUCGUACUCCCCGAAAU